UUGCCGACCUAGUGACAUAAAAAAAAAACAAAAACGAUCUUAUCGCGGCUAGUGACAUCAAGUGACAACUCUAAUAUUAUUCUUAAAAAACACAACAAUUACUCUAUC
This is a long non-coding RNA of Melitaea cinxia (Glanville fritillary), 108 nucleotides long. RefSeq lists it as uncharacterized. The transcript has 3 exons. NCBI's taxonomy places the organism in Eukaryota, Metazoa, Arthropoda, Insecta, Lepidoptera, Nymphalidae. The record is from RefSeq and is a predicted model, not a curated record.